This 253-nucleotide ribosomal RNA is filed under the name uncultured bacterium. Its description in RNAcentral is "partial 16S ribosomal RNA". It matches the Rfam family "Archaeal small subunit ribosomal RNA", at positions 474 to 727 of the family's 1478-position model. The record is from RNAcentral.
UACCAGCACCCCGAGUGGUCGUGACGAUUAUUGGGCCUAAAGCAUCCGUAGCCGGUUUUACAAGUCCCCCGUUAAAUCCAGCUGCUUAACAGAUGGGCUGCGGAGGAUACUAUAAGACUAGGAGGCAGGAGAGGCAAGCGGUACUCGGUGGGUAGGGGUAAAAUCCGUUGAUCCAUUGAAGACCACCAGUGGCGAAGGCGGCUUGCCAGAAUGCGCUCGACGGUGAGGGAUGAAAGCUGGGGGAGCAAACCGG